Molecule: long non-coding RNA, 2261 nt
Organism: Cavia porcellus (domestic guinea pig)
Lineage: Eukaryota; Metazoa; Chordata; Mammalia; Rodentia; Caviidae
Exons: 2
Source: RefSeq, a predicted model, not a curated record
UGAACCAGUGAUUUAUUAUGUACUAUCUUAGACAUUAGGAAAUGCUGCUAUAAAUACUGUCUUGUUCAUACCCUAGAGCUAAUCAUUGCCCGCUGAAGAAGACAGUUACAUGGACAUCCCAACAUAAAGAGAUAACAGAGUUCUGGGAAAUUUCAAGAAUUGAAGUUACAAACUUUAUCCAGAACUGGAAGGAAAAAUACUAAUUUCUCUGACAAACUUUGAGGAUAGAGGACCUAAAAUCUGUGGACAGCCGUGCUUCCAGUGGGAGAGAGAACUGACAGCGAUGGAAGUGGACUGGGUUGGAACCUGCAGUCAGAACAGCUCUGGGUUCUUGGGUUUUGUUCCUAUGAAAGCUGUGUCCCAGCUUUUUUUUUUUUUUUUUUUUUUUUUUUUAAUUUAAGAGGAAAAAGAGAAAAACACAAAACAAACCAAAGCGGUGUAAGGGUACACGUAAUACAGAACUACAAAAAAACAAAACAAAACAAAAAAAAAAACAAAACAAACAAACAAAAAAACAUAACAGUAAGAAAUCACCUGUUAGUAUAUUACAUAUUAUCAUCUUGAAAAUAGUUCCUCAAAUCACAGUAUCAAAGAAUACAAGGUGGACAUUCAAACAGGUAGACUGCAAACAGCUGUGUUCAAUGAUCCAAAAACAUUGAUACAGUCAGCUAUUUAACACCCCUAAACACCCUUGCUGUUAUAUCCGUUAGAGCUCUUUUUCUUUUUGUUUUUUUUUCCCUCUCUUUUUUACAACAAAAUUCACACACUUUGGAUUUCAUUACUCCUUAGUGUGUGUCCCAGCUUUUAAAGCCUUUGAAUGGAACACAUUUUUCAAGACAUCAUAUUCACCAUUUAAAAACGUGCUUCAAGUUCUGUCCUUUGCCAGCAAAGCAUUUUGACUAGUAAAAUGCUGUAUUUCCUAAAAUAAAUAGAUGUGGAGUACAUGGUUACGUGGCUAGUAAUGAGAUAAAAUAACUAUAGUAAAAUGAAACAAGCAAUAAUAAAUUUAAAUUGUAGAUGUAGAAAAGAUUGAGUGGAAAAACAUAACAAGUUCAAGGUCACCCUUAACUACAUAGAGAGACCAUGUGGCAAAAGCAUAAUAAUUAUUUAAAUAAUAGUAAAUUUUAGGAAUGAAAACUUUUAUGAUUUUGAAAGUGAAAUGUUUAUAUAAUAAGUGUAAAUUCAUUUCAAAUUGACUAUGGCUGGUACUAAAUUUCAGAUCUUUUUAUUCAGUCAUUAACUUCUGUACAUUCAUUUACUUCCUCCCAUAUGAGUUACUAUUUAUGUGCCAUAUAUUUUGUCCUUUUUGGUAGCCAGAUUGCAAAAAUAAAGAUGACACAAUCAUUGUCCUCUUAGAAUUCACAUUCAGCCAUGGAAACAAAGUUACAGUAGAGUCUGUUACUUCUUUAGGAAAAUCAAACUAUGGUGGCAAUGAGGAAGGACUGAUUAUUUUGCAAAUCAAAAUAAUAUCCACGCAUUCUUUCAGUGACACACAAAAUUAAAACUCACAAAUGCAAAGAAGACUAAUAAAGUUGUGUAUAUGAAAACUAUAAAUAAUAAAAUAAAAAAGAAAACAUUUCAGAAAGUGUUUGCCACACACAUGGCCUGUAUACAUAUUAUACAAACGUUCUCAAACAUGAGAAACUGACAAUUAGAUGGGUCUGUUUCUAGGUAAGCUUGUUCAAAGAAAAAGACUUGUAAGCAAUUAACAUGAAGAAAAUAAAUACAUAAUAGAAAAUCACAAAGUAACACAAAAAUAAAUAAUCUUAAAAUAUUAGAUUGUAAAACUUUAAGACUGAUAACUUUGAUUCUCUUUUGGAGAACAUAUAAAUUUUACAUAUGUUUGAGACACUGGUUCAAACUUUUGGAUACUGAUAUUAAAAGAUGUAGCUCAGCAAAUAAUUUAUAUUUAACUCAACUUAUACUUAAAUGAAAAUUGAUGCUUAUAAUACCACACGAAAUAACAUGACUAAUGUCACAUAGGAACCAACUAAAAUAUCUUCCAAUAGAGAACUAAUUAAUGCUAUGGUAAAGAAAAUAGCAUAUACAUUUAUAGGUAUAUAUUAGGAGUAUUUGCAAAGCCAAAGAGUAACAAAUAAAAUAUUGUCAGCAGCUGUCUCUGUGAAGCUAUUAGGGACACAAAGAAAACAUUCUUAAUUUUUACUUUGCAUAUUUAGUUAAUUUUUUUCAAAAAAUUGUUUGAUUAUAUAUUGAAAAUACUUUCAAAUGAGAAAUAUUUUGAAUAAAAAUUUCUGUCAGAA